AUGAAUGCUGGCGGCGUGUCUAAGGCAUGCAAGUCGAACGGCCACGUAGAGCGCGCAAGCGCUUUUACGUGGUAGUGGCAAACGGGUGCGUAACACAUUGGUAACCUACCUCCCAGUCGGGCAUAACCCACCGAAAGGUGGACUAAUUCCACGAUGGUCUCCCCAAAGCGUAAGCCAAAGGGAGUAAAGCGCAAAACGCGCUGGGAGAGGGGCCUAUGGCCCAUCAGCUAGUUGGUAAGGUAACGGCUUACCAAGGCUAUGACGGGUAGGGGGUGUGAGAGCACGACCCCCCUCACUGGGACUGAGACACUGCCCAGACACCUACGGGUGGCUGCAGUCGAGAAUAUUCCCCAAUGGACGCAAGUCUGAGGGAGCGACGCCGCGUGUGGGAAGAAGGCCUUCGGGUCGUAAACCACUUUUGCCGAGGAAGAAAUCUGACGGUACUCGGAGAAUAAGAGGUUGCUAACUCUGU
Molecule: ribosomal RNA, 472 nt
Filed under: uncultured bacterium
Lineage: Bacteria
Description: bacterial SSU rRNA
Rfam family: Bacterial small subunit ribosomal RNA
Source: RNAcentral